Molecule: unclassified non-coding RNA, 342 nt
Filed under: soil metagenome
Description: partial contains 5.8S ribosomal RNA, internal transcribed spacer 2, and large subunit ribosomal RNA
Rfam family: 5.8S ribosomal RNA (bases 1-120)
Source: RNAcentral
GAUGAAGAACGUAGCGAAAUGCGAUAAGUAGUGUGAAUUGCAGAAUUCAGUGAAUCAUCGAAUCUUUGAACGCACAUUGCGCCUCCUGGUAUUCCGGGAGGCAUGCCUGUUCGAGCGUCAUCAAAAACCUCAACCCAUGAUUUAUUGUGAGUUGGUUCUGCAUUGGACUCCUUGUGGGUCCUUUGCGAAAUCCAAUGGCGAAGAGCCACGCAACCAAAGCGUAGUAUAACUAUUUCGUUAUGGAAGCGUGGGUGCCUCUGCCGUAACCCCCAAUUUCUUAGUUUUUGACCUCGGAUCAGGUAGGGAUACCCGCUGAACUUAAGCAUAUCAAUAAGCGGAGGA